Xyrichtys novacula (pearly razorfish) is the source of this 3759-nucleotide non-coding RNA. Lineage: Eukaryota; Metazoa; Chordata; Actinopteri; Labriformes; Labridae. The record is from the annotation of a GenBank genome assembly.
UUUGUUCUUUUUUCCUGAUUUGAUUUAUUUAUAAAAGUUUAAAUCUGACACACAGAGAAUCUAUAAAAACCAACAUGAUGCUGAAUGAAACACUGAGAUCAUUUUCAGAUGUGAAGCAGGUUCACAAGAAACUGUAGACAAUCCCUUUAAGAACAUCAAUUUUCCUGCAGCGUUGGCUGCUGUUGCCAUGGUAACAGGUGGACGUUUUCUCUGACCGAGCUUCAGCGUUUGUGUUUUCAAUUUUUACUCUUUGAAUCAGAGAGUGAGGGAACAAAACAGAUUUAAAUUUGAAGGCAUCACAGCUGGUCAGUUUGAGCUCAAGAAACGUUUUUUCAGGACAGCAGUCGGAGUCGUCGUUUGACUAUUUUAGCUAGGUGGGACAGAGCUAACUACCGAGGUAGCUAAGACUGAAUAAACAUGGCCAACUGCAGUUUGAGCUAAACUGAGAUUAAUGCUGUGUUCGAGUUACCUCGGAAGUCAGAAGUCCAAGGUAAAACUGGCGUCACACCCAAGUUCCCAGCGUUUCAGUUACCAAGUCAGAAAAAAGCAAAAUCAGAGGCAGAAACAAGAUGGCUACAUCUACGAAAGUUAUUUUAGCACUUGCCUUGUUCGAAUAUAAGUUAAGUGCUAAAAUAACUUUUGUAGAUGUAGCUGUCUUUUUUUUACCUCCAAUUAUGGCUACAUCCACGAAAGUUAUUUUAGCGCUUACCUUAUAUUUGGACAAGGCAAACGCUAAAAUAACUGUGGUAGAUGUAGCCAUCUUGCUUCAGGCCUCCGAUUUAGCUUUUUUCCGACUUGGUAACUGAAACGCUGGGAACUUGGGUGUGACGCCAGUUUUAGCUUGGACUUCUGACUUCCGAGGUAACUGGAACGCAGCAUAAUUUUAGCACUAGCUAGCUGUUUGUCAGCUCAAAGCGGCUAACAGCUAUCAACUAUAGCAGGCUAAGCUGAACUACUAUUGUGACUGUCGCAAAGAGCGAAAAAAGAAGAGUUUGUUCACUGGCUCAUUAGCUGUAAAAAUAACGAUAUCGCCAUGGCGAACAACUAGCUAUUAGCUAUAAAAAAGUUCAUCAAUGGUCAAACGGUUACUGUGCUAAUCGCCAACGCCAACCAGAGUUGUGAAGUUAACAGCUAGCUUGUCAGCUUUAAGCUAGCUAAACAUACAAAUAAUGCUCACAGGCUAAAGGUUCACCAAAUUCAUGAAUUAUUUAUAAUAACAGAAAAAAACCUCUGACAAGGAGGACUAUGUUCAGUUCUUCCAGUAACUGAUUCAUUAAUGCAGAAAAAUACAAUAUUUAUAUUUUAGUCUCAUACGAACUCUGCGGCAUUCGCUAAUGUUAGCUAAAAGCUAACUGAGGUCACACUGAUCGAACAUGGAGGCUGUGAGAGGAGCCAAAGUGAGUUUCUGUGUUUUUCUGUCCACAGAUAUUCAAUAACAGUGUUUUUGAUCACAGCUGGGAGAAAACUUCGUAAACAGUUUUAUUAACUGAUAAAAAUCAGCGAUCUCUGGGGCAGACUGACGCCUGAAUCCAAUAAAUGAAUAAAUGGAUGUGAAAACUGAUACAGCAGAUCUGAGUGACAGUGAUAAGAAAAAUUUAUCUCUAUUUCUUAAGUUCCCUUUGUUUCCUCUGAAGAUCCUAACAAACAAAGCAGAUCAUAAUUCAUCAAUAAUAAUAGAUCAAAUUCUCAUCAAUGAACCUGAUCAAUGACACGGUGUAAACAGACGGAUCAGUUUUUUCUCUUUCCUCCUUAGAGUUUGUUUCCAGCACACAGUGAUUAAAGUUUCAUGAGUUUACCUACAGAGUCAUAUUUACAAGAAUCAUCUGAGAAGUGUUGUCAAGACUCCAGGAGCUCCAGAGCUGCAGCUGAAGAGGAACCUGAAGAACUUCUGCUUUUAGAAGGUAACUUUCUGGAUCUCGGUUCCUCUUUAGCCUCUUUGGACGAAUAAAAUGAACCUCAGUCACACUUUACUCCUGCUGUUCUACUCCUGUCCAGUUGGAGAGAGUAUAACAUGUCUAACAUCAUUUGUAAGCGGCUGAUAAACAAAAGAAUGAGGGUAAAACUUCAACCCCCAAUCUCCACAGCAUCCCGAAUGGCUCCGAUCCAGAACGGCUGCAAUUUUCACCCUCCACCAAUCCAUCCACCACCAUCCGUUUGUGAGGUGAAUUACUUGGCGGAUUACGGAUAGCAGGAAUCGCGAGAACUCACAAUAACCCACGGAUUCACGUGCAAUCGCGUGAUAACAAGUUGUCUCUAUAAAGACAGACACAUAGACAUAUAAGUAGUAGAUUGUGUCAUUCUAGAGGAGGAAUUCUACUUCUUGACUUGUAGAAUCAGCAUUUCCUCAUCCAUGGUGUCAUCGGGGUGAAAUGACAUCUAUAAACCUUUCACUUGUUCGUCUCCGCCCGUCUGCAUGGUGUGAAAUACAAUGUUUUUAUUGUAUUUUAUGUUUUGUGUCUGUGCUCAACUUCCUUUCCAGCACGGGUUAAUCUGUGCUGAAUUUAUCCGGCAUGCUCCGGUGUCCAGAAAAAAUAGAAGUCUUACGAUCAGCUGAGGAGUCUGGCGAUAUGCAGCGGAACGGAAAGAAGUCGGUGGAAAUCGACACGUUACCUUGAAUGGAUACGAUCGGAGGAUACAACCUUUUGUAGCCAUUCAGGAUGUGGUGGAAAUUGGGGGUAAGAGCCUGUUUCAUAAAAAGAUGACUCCGUUUUUGCACCAUGAACAUGAGCCAAAAAGACUUUGGAUCUGUCUCUGGCUGCUCAUGGCGGACCCUCUUUCACAUACAGACUGUGUCAUUAUUACACAUGAGGGUGAUUUUUAAAUUUGCUUUUUUAUGAGACAGCUCAAGGAAAUAAGGCGGAUCAAACCCGUCAAAUCUUUCAUGAAUCAACUGUGUAAUAAUCUGGAGUGGACGCUCCCCUUUCCACUCAACUCAUCAUAUAUGUGGAUAGAAGUGUGCACAGCAGAGCUCUGAGCAGCAGAGAUUCAGUACGUUUACAUGCCACUCGAGAAAACCGAAUUAUCGCCUUACUCCGAUUAAGACUGGACAACUGAAGUGCAUGUAAACACCUUAGUCUGACUAUAAUCGAAGUCUAAGAACUCUGAUGAAGACACCAAGAUAAUGCAAUUGGAAUUCGAUUUUCUCUACCAUGUAACCAGCGUAGUCAGAGUAUGAUCGGACAAUGCAUGUGCAUGUGCGCCAUGCCCCCGUAACCCCAUAACAAAAACACCAGAGAAAAAGAGUAGCGUGCGUCUCAUCUGCAAAAAUAGUAGCGCGUCCAUCAUAUAGGACAAAAGUUAAGGCUGUACGAUGCUCCAUCUUCUUGCUCCAAAAUGCCCAGCAGCAGUUGUAGACACUUCUGAUGUCUGGCACAGACCUGCUGUUGGUGUUGGCGGUUGUAUGUGGUUGGAAACAGCGCUGCUGAAAAGACCCAUAUCGCCCCCUAGUUUUGGGGAGGAGGACAUGUUCACGUCAAUAAUUCGAUUUUCUCAGCUGCAUGUACACGCGGACAAGGAGAGAAGUCUGAUUGGGCGAAAAAAAAACGAAUUAUGAGCUUAGUCCGAUCAAGCUGUGCAUAUAAACGCACUGAGUGAUGCUGCCAGCUCAGUACUCAUCCGGUGCAACACUGGAGCAAACUGCACAAACUUUGAGGGUGUGUUUGUGCUUGAACCUCAUGAGCAGAAAAUGCUUUUCAUUUCCUGCGCUCAACUUUAACUUAUUUUAUUUCUUGUUUUGAGUGUUAACAUCUGUCUUAGUGG